This 554-nucleotide ribosomal RNA is filed under the name Gracilibacillus sp. C140. Its description in RNAcentral is "bacterial SSU rRNA". It matches the Rfam family "Bacterial small subunit ribosomal RNA", at positions 97 to 635 of the family's 1533-position model. Lineage: Bacteria; Bacillati; Bacillota; Bacilli; Caryophanales; Bacillaceae. The record is from RNAcentral.
GGCGGACGGGUGAGUAACACGUGGGCAACCUGCCUGUAAGACGGGGAUAACUCCGGGAAACCGGGGCUAAUACCGGAUAGAACCUAUUCUCGCAUGAGAAAAGGUGGAAAGAUGGCUUCGGCUAUCACUUACAGAUGGGCCCGCGGCGCAUUAGCUAGUUGGUGAGGUAACGGCUCACCAAGGCAACGAUGCGUAGCCGACCUGAGAGGGUGAUCGGCCACACUGGGACUGAGACACGGCCCAGACUCCUACGGGAGGCAGCAGUAGGGAAUCUUCCGCAAUGGACGAAAGUCUGACGGAGCAACGCCGCGUGAACGAAGAAGGUUUUCGGAUCGUAAAGUUCUGUUGUUAGGGAAGAACAAGUACCGUUCAAACAGGGCGGUACCUUGACGGUACCUAUCGAGGAAGCCCCGGCUAACUACGUGCCAGCAGCCGCGGUAAUACGUAGGGGGCAAGCGUUGUCCGGAAUUAUUGGGCGUAAAGCGCGCGUAGGCGGUUUCUUAAGUCUGAUGUGAAAUCUUGCGGCUCAACCGCAAGCGGUCAUUGUGAAACUG